RNAcentral lists this ribosomal RNA (305 nucleotides) under uncultured bacterium. Its description in RNAcentral is "bacterial SSU rRNA". It matches the Rfam family "Bacterial small subunit ribosomal RNA", at positions 335 to 638 of the family's 1533-position model. The record is from RNAcentral.
UAUCCUACGGGGGGCAGCAGUGAGGAAUAUUGGUCAAUGGACGCAAGUCUGAACCAGCCAUGCCGCGUGCAGGAAGACGGCUCUAUGAGUUGUAAACUGCUUUUGUACGAGGGUAAAUACAGGUACGUGUAUCUGUUUGAAAGUAUCGUACGAAUAAGGAUCGGCUAACUCCGUGCCAGCAGCCGCGGUAAUACGGAGGAUGCGAGCGUUAUCCGGAUUUAUUGGGUUUAAAGGGUGCGUAGGCGGUCCGGAAAGUCAGCGGUAAAAGCCCGGGGCUCAACCCCGGCGAGCCGUUGAAACUGUCG